Long non-coding RNA from Daphnia pulex (common water flea), 673 nucleotides. RefSeq lists it as uncharacterized. The record is from RefSeq and is a predicted model, not a curated record. Lineage: Eukaryota; Metazoa; Arthropoda; Branchiopoda; Diplostraca; Daphniidae. The transcript has 3 exons.
GAAUACAAUUUACCUAUUUUACUAAUUACUAGAACGUUAUGUCACAGAUAAAGACGACGUCGUGGUCUAUUGUCUUGUAUAUCUAUGGUUAUGUUGUAAGAAAUUUGUAAAAAGAAGUCUUCAUUUUAAUGUGACUUUGAACUCCAAUUCCAGCUGUUUCAUGCUAAAUACUCCUCGAGGAUGCUAAAAAAUGGCUCUUAAUAUUUUUUUUAAACAUAAUAUCUUACAUGGAUAUUACUUGUUCAAAUUCAAAUGCUAUUUUUCUAAUAGCACUAGCUCUAUAUCCUAUUUGGAAAAAAUCAAGUUUAUUGUGUGCUGCUCAGCUGCUGUCAUUCAUUCAAGGUGGCCUUCUACUACCAGUACCAACCACAACAAAUCAAGUCGUACAUUAAAUUGGAAUCUUGGAGAUCGUUGAUGGCCUUCGAGUCCCAUUGCUUGCGGAGCCCGAAAAGAUACUUCGGCCAGAAGCCAUUUUCAGCCAUAAUGACAAAAUAAGUAAAAAAACCAGCCGAUGCUUGCAUCAUACCAAUCUGGCCGUAAGCCAUGGAAAUUAAUCUAAUUUGUCUGUCUGGGGGUUACGUGGACGUCUUUUCAUUAUGUCAGAUUCUGCUUUUUCGUAAGCCAGUGAGAUAGCUGGAACCUGUUUUUUUUUAAGUGAAUCAUUAGUUAACGC